UCCCCCCCCCCGCCCCCCCCUGGUUACCAAGAAUACUUCCAAAAAGGCUCCCCCCCACACCCCCCGCCUUCCAUGGAGAACCGCCAAGAGGACACUGGUUGUUCUUCUUUUCUGAAGGGAUGUUUGGCUGCACUUUGUUGCUGCUGUCUGUUGGAAGAGUGCUUCCUCUAAGCCUUGUUCUGCCUCUAAACAAAUACAUUAUAUCUCAACAUUAGAUAAUUCUGCUUCUAUUGCAGACUGUUAUCUUCACAGUUC
This 255-nucleotide unclassified non-coding RNA is filed under the name Hevea brasiliensis (rubber tree). Lineage: Eukaryota; Viridiplantae; Streptophyta; Magnoliopsida; Malpighiales; Euphorbiaceae. The record is from RNAcentral.